This 3035-nucleotide ribosomal RNA is filed under the name Proteus terrae subsp. cibarius. RNAcentral's name for it is "Proteus cibarius 23S ribosomal RNA". It matches the Rfam family "Bacterial large subunit ribosomal RNA". Lineage: Bacteria; Pseudomonadati; Pseudomonadota; Gammaproteobacteria; Enterobacterales; Morganellaceae. The record is from RNAcentral.
GGGUUGUGAGGUUAAGCGAAUAAGCGUACACGGUGGAUGCCUAGGCAAUCAGAGGCGAUGAAGGACGUGCUAAUCUGCGAUAAGCGUCGGUAAGGUGAUAUGAACCGUUAUACCCGACGAUUUCCGAAUGGGGAAACCCAAUAUCCAAUGGAUAUUAUCAUUAACUGAAUACAUAGGUUAAUGAAGCGAACCGGGAGAACUGAAACAUCUCAGUACCCCGAGGAAAAGAAAUCAACCGAGAUUCCCCUAGUAGCGGCGAGCGAACGGGGAACAGCCCAGAGUCUUAAUCAAUAGCAGCAUCAGGAGAACGGUCUGGAAAGUCCGGCAGUAAAGGGUGAUAGCCCCGUAUCCGAAGAUGCUGUUAUUGUGAACUCGACGAGUAGGGCGGGACACGUGUUAUCCUGUCUGAAUAUGGGGGGACCAUCCUCCAAGGCUAAAUACUCCUGAUUGACCGAUAGUGAACCAGUACCGUGAGGGAAAGGCGAAAAGAACCCCGGCGAGGGGAGUGAAAAAGAACCUGAAACCGUGUACGUACAAGCAGUAGGAGCCCCACCACUAAGCUAGUGGUGAACUCACAGCGAUUCUUUUGCAUGAUAAUGUGCGGUAGACGGAGCGAAUGCGACGUCCAACCAACAAAAUCAAGCAGAGGAGGCUUAGUGGUGGGGUGACUGCGUACCUUUUGUAUAAUGGGUCAGCGACUUAUAUUCUGUAGCAAGGUUAACCGUAUAGGGGAGCCGUAGGGAAACCGAGUCUUAACUGGGCGAAUGAGUUGCAGGGUAUAGACCCGAAACCCGGUGAUCUAUCCAUGGGCAGGUUGAAGGUUGGGUAACACUAACUGGAGGACCGAACCGACUAAUGUUGAAAAAUUAGCGGAUGACUUGUGGAUGGGGGUGAAAGGCCAAUCAAACCGGGAGAUAGCUGGUUCUCCCCGAAAGCUAUUUAGGUAGCGCCUCGUGAAUUCAUCUUCGGGGGUAGAGCACUGUUUCGACUAGGGGGUCAUCCCGACUUACCAACUCGAUGCAAACUGCGAAUACCGAAGAAUGUUAUCACGGGAGACACACGGCGGGUGCUAACGUCCGUCGUGAAGAGGGAAACAACCCAGACCGCCAGCUAAGGUCCCAAAGUCAUGGUUAAGUGGGAAACGAAGUGGGAAGGCUCAGACAGCCAGGAUGUUGGCUUAGAAGCAGCCAUCAUUUAAAGAAAGCGUAAUAGCUCACUGGUCGAGUCGGCCCGCGCGGAAGAUGUAACGGGGCUAAACCAUGCACCGAAGCUGCGGCAGCGACACUAAGUGUUGUUGGGUAGGGGAGCGUUCUGUAAGCCUGCGAAGGUGUACUGUGAGGUAUGCUGGAGGUAUCAGAAGUGCGAAUGCUGACAUAAGUAACGAUAAUGCGGGUGAAAAACCCGCACGCCGGAAGACCAAGGGUUCCUGUCCAACGUUAAUCGGGGCAGGGUGAGUCGACCCCUAAGGCGAGGCUGAAAAGCGUAGUCGAUGGGAAACGGGUUAAUAUUCCCGUACUGGUGGUAACUGCGAUGGGGGAACGGAGAAGGCUAGGUUGUCCGGGCGACGGUCGUCCCGGUUCAAGCAUGUAGGCAGAGUGAUUAGGCAAAUCCGGUCACUUAAUGCUGAGGUGUGAUGACGAACCACUAAGGUGGUGAAGCAAUUGAUGCCCUGCUUCCAGGAAAAGCCUCUAAGCUUCAGGUUACCAACAAUCGUACCCCAAACCGACACAGGUGGUCAGGUAGAGAAUACUCAGGCGCUUGAGAGAACUCGGGUGAAGGAACUAGGCAAAAUGGUGCCGUAACUUCGGGAGAAGGCACGCUGGCGGUAAGUGAAGUCCCUUGCGGACGGAGCCGAAGCCAGUCGAAGAUACCAGCUGGCUGCAACUGUUUAUUAAAAACACAGCACUGUGCAAACACGAAAGUGGACGUAUACGGUGUGACGCCUGCCCGGUGCUGGAAGGUUAAUUGAUGGGGUUAUCCUUAGGGAGAAGCUCUUGAUCGAAGCCCCAGUAAACGGCGGCCGUAACUAUAACGGUCCUAAGGUAGCGAAAUUCCUUGUCGGGUAAGUUCCGACCUGCACGAAUGGCGUAAUGAUGGCCAGGCUGUCUCCACCCGAGACUCAGUGAAAUUGAACUCGCUGUGAAGAUGCAGUGUACCCGCGGCAAGACGGAAAGACCCCGUGAACCUUUACUAUAGCUUGACACUGAACAUUGAGCCUUGAUGUGUAGGAUAGGUGGGAGACUAUGAAGUGUGGACGCCAGUCUGCAUGGAGUCAACCUUGAAAUACCACCCUUUAACGUUUGAUGUUCUAACCUAGGUCCAUAAUCUGGAUCGGGGACCGUGUCUGGUGGGUAGUUUGACUGGGGCGGUCUCCUCCUAAAGAGUAACGGAGGAGCACGAAGGUUGGCUAAGCAUGGUCGGACAUCAUGCGGUUAGUGCAAAGGCAUAAGCCAGCUUGACUGUGAGAGUGACGGCUCGAGCAGGUACGAAAGUAGGUCUUAGUGAUCCGGUGGUUCUGAAUGGAAGGGCCAUCGCUCAACGGAUAAAAGGUACUCCGGGGAUAACAGGCUGAUACCGCCCAAGAGUUCAUAUCGACGGCGGUGUUUGGCACCUCGAUGUCGGCUCAUCACAUCCUGGGGCUGAAGUAGGUCCCAAGGGUAUGGCUGUUCGCCAUUUAAAGUGGUACGCGAGCUGGGUUUAGAACGUCGUGAGACAGUUCGGUCCCUAUCUGCCGUGGGCGUUGGAAGAUUGAGAGGGGUUGCUCCUAGUACGAGAGGACCGGAGUGAACGCACCACUGGUGUUCGGGUUGUCAUGCCAAUGGCAUUGCCCGGUAGCUAAGUGCGGAAGAGAUAACCGCUGAAAGCAUCUAAGCGGGAAACUUGCCUCGAGAUGAGUCUUCCCUGUCACCUAGAGUGACCUAAAGGAACGUUUAAGACUAAGACGUUGAUAGGCUGGGUGUGUAAGCGUAGCGAUACGUUGAGCUAACCAGUACUAAUGAACCGUGAGGCUUAACCUGACAACACCGAAGGUGUUU